RNAcentral lists this long non-coding RNA (596 nucleotides) under Homo sapiens (human). RNAcentral's name for it is "HSALNT0382868". The record is from RNAcentral. Lineage: Eukaryota; Metazoa; Chordata; Mammalia; Primates; Hominidae.
CCUAGUUUCAAUGACAGACAAGGGCUGUCACAUGGUGGCUUCUUAGACACUGAGUCAGAGAAUAUGUAUGCUGUGCUCAAGGGAGAGGUCCCAAGAUGCCUGGGUCAUGUCUCCCUCUUCCGCCUCCGCCCUGCUGUCUGUCCAUAGGCUGAGCCUUGUCAAUCCUGUGGCAGCCCAUGGAAUGGCUCUCCCCUUGUGUACACACAUACACACACAUUCACACACACACAUUCACACACACACAUUCACACACACACACACAUUCUCACACACACAUAUUCACACACAUUCACACAUACACAUUCACAUACACAUUCACAUUCACACAUACACAUUCACACACACACAUUCACACACACAUUCUCACACACACAUUCACACACACACAUUCACACACACACACACAUACACACACACACCCUUUCUCCACCUUGGUGGAAGCAGGAUCAAGAGAAGGGAGUACAGGUGGGAAGAAGAAAGAAAAGCCGAAGAAAAACAAGGCUUUUCCAGAACUCUUUUGGGGAGCAGAAGAGAAGCCUGGGCUGGAGAGAGGUCAAAGAUCUGGCAGUCCCACCUCAUCCCACCCAACCCCAGCC